CCGUAGUACGGCGAGUGAAGCGGGAUGAGCUCAAAUUUAAAAUCUGGCAGCCUAAGGUUGUCCGAGUUGUAGUCUAGAGAAGCGUUUUCCGCGUAGGCCUGUGUACAAGUCCCUUGGAAUAGGGCGUCAUAGAGGGUGAGAAUCCCGUCCUUGACACAGAUCAUCUAUGCUUUGCGAUGCGCUCUCGAAGAGUCGAGUUGUUUGGGAAUGCAGCUCAAAAUGGGUGGUAAAUUCCAUCUAAAGCUAAAUACUGGCGAGAGACCGAUAGCGAACAAGUACCGUGAGGGAAAGAUGAAAAGCACUUUGGAAAGAGAGUUAAACAGUACGUGAAAUUGUUGAAAGGGAAACGAUUGAAGUCAGUCAUGUGGUUCGAGAUUCAGCCGGUUCUGCCGGUGUAUUUCUCGAGCUACAGGCCAGCAUCAGUUUCGACCGGUGGAAAAAGUUGGAGGGAACGUGGCAUCCUCGGAUGUGUUAUAGCCCUCUUUCACAUGCAUCGGACGGGACUGAGGAACGCAGCGUGCCUUUAUGGUCGGUCUUCGGACACGAACGCGCUUAGGAUGCUGGCAUAAUGGCUUUAAACGACCCGUCUUACACA
RNAcentral lists this ribosomal RNA (595 nucleotides) under Udeniomyces kanasensis. RNAcentral's name for it is "eukaryotic LSU rRNA". It matches the Rfam family "Eukaryotic large subunit ribosomal RNA", at positions 78 to 661 of the family's 3401-position model. The record is from RNAcentral. Lineage: Eukaryota; Fungi; Basidiomycota; Tremellomycetes; Cystofilobasidiales; Mrakiaceae.